UAAGCGGAGGAAAAGAAACCAACAGGGAUUGCCUCAGUAACGGCGAGUGAAGCGGCAAAAGCUCAAAUUUUAAAGCUGGCAUCUUCGGUGUCCGCGUUGUAAUUUUGUGAGGCAUCUCCGGGUAGGGCGCCGGCCUAAGUUCCUUGGAACAGGACGUCAUAGAGGGUGAGAAUCCCGUGCUUGGCUGGCUGUCCCCGUCCAUGUGAGGUGUCUUCGACGAGUCGAGUUGUUUGGGAAUGCAGCUCAAAAUGGGUGGUAAAUUUCAUCUAAAGCUAAAUAUUGGUGGGAGACCGAUAGCGCACAAGUAGAGUGAUCGAAAGAUGAAAAGCACUUUGAAAAUAGAGUUAAAAAGUACGUGAAAUUGUUGAAAGGGAAGCGCUUGAGACCAGACUUCGGUAGGGAGUGAUCAGCUGUCCUUCUGGGCGGUGCACUUGCUCCCCUCCGGGCCAGCAUCGGUUGGGACGGCGGGAUAAAGGUCCCGGGAAUGUGGCUCCUUUCGGGGAGUGUUAUAGCCCGGGUGAAUGCCGCCAGCCCCGACCGAGGACCGCGCCUUCGGGCUAGGAUGCUUGGCAUAAUGGUCUUCAGCGACCCGUCUUGA
RNAcentral lists this ribosomal RNA (598 nucleotides) under Morchella diminutiva. RNAcentral's name for it is "eukaryotic LSU rRNA". It matches the Rfam family "Eukaryotic large subunit ribosomal RNA", at positions 47 to 657 of the family's 3401-position model. Lineage: Eukaryota; Fungi; Ascomycota; Pezizomycetes; Pezizales; Morchellaceae. The record is from RNAcentral.